GUCGAACGAGGAUCUUCGGAUUCUAGUGGCGGACGGGUGAGUAACGCGUGAGAAUCUGCCUUCAGGUCUGGGAUAACAGCUGGAAACGGUUGCUAAUACCGGAUGAGCCGAGAGGUAAAAGCUUUAGUGCCUGANGAUGAGCUCGCGUCUGAUUAGCUAGUUGGUGGGGUAAGAGCCUACCAAGGCGGUGAUCAGUAGCUGGUCUGAGAGGAUGAUCAGCCACCACUGGGACUGAGACACGGCCCAGACUCCUACGGGAGGCAGCAGUGGGGAAUUUUCCGCAAUGGGCGAAAGCCUGACGGAGCAACGCCCGCGUGAGGGAGGAAUGCCUGUGGGUUGUAAACCUCUUUUCUCAGGGAAGAAGAUCUGACGGUACCUGAGGAAUCAGCAUCGGCUAACUCCGUGCCAGCAGCCGCGGUAAUACGGAGGAUGCAAGCGUUAUCCGGAUUUAUUGGGCGUAAAGCGUCCGUAGGUGGCUUUAUAAGUCUGCUGUCAAAGCCCACAGCUUAACUGUGGAUCGGCAGUGGAAACUAUAGAGCUUGAGUGCGGUAGGGGCAGAGGGAAUUCCCAGUGUAGCGGUGAAAUGCGUAGAUAUUGGGAAGAACACCGGUGGCGAAAGCGCUCUGCUAGGCCGCAACUGACACUGAGGGACGAAAGCUAGGGGAGCGAAAGGGAUUAGAUAC
Molecule: ribosomal RNA, 683 nt
Filed under: Plectonema sp. HPC-4
Lineage: Bacteria; Bacillati; Cyanobacteriota; Cyanophyceae; Oscillatoriales; Microcoleaceae
Description: bacterial SSU rRNA
Rfam family: Bacterial small subunit ribosomal RNA
Source: RNAcentral